GCCUGGAUGGCUCAGUGGUUGAGCAUCUGCCUUUGGCUCAGGGCACGAUGGGGGAUCGAGUCCCACAUCGGGCU
Molecule: transfer RNA, 74 nt
Filed under: Canis lupus familiaris (dog)
Lineage: Eukaryota; Metazoa; Chordata; Mammalia; Carnivora; Canidae
Also listed under: 1 other name
Rfam family: tRNA
About the family: Transfer RNA (tRNA) molecules are approximately 80 nucleotides in length. Their secondary structure includes four short double-helical elements and three loops (D, anti-codon, and T loops). Further hydrogen bonds mediate the characteristic L-shaped molecular structure. tRNAs have two regions of fundamental functional importance: the anti-codon, which is responsible for specific mRNA codon recognition, and the 3' end, to which the tRNAs corresponding amino acid is attached (by aminoacyl-tRNA synthetases). tRNAs cope with the degeneracy of the genetic code in two manners: having more than one tRNA (with a specific anti-codon) for a particular amino acid; and 'wobble' base-pairing, i.e. permitting non-standard base-pairing at the 3rd anti-codon position.
Source: Rfam by way of RNAcentral